Long non-coding RNA from Rhipicephalus microplus (southern cattle tick), 459 nucleotides. The record is from RefSeq and is a predicted model, not a curated record. Lineage: Eukaryota; Metazoa; Arthropoda; Arachnida; Ixodida; Ixodidae.
UCGACUGUCAGCGCUUCCUCUAGUUUGGUCAACGUUAAUUUUGUUAUGCGGUGGUGUGUAUGGAUUGCGGUAUUGUUCCUUGUGAGUCUGGAGAUGUGGCACAGUGAUUCUCGGCCGAAGGAUCUUUCAAAAUGUUAUCUGGAAGCGCCAAAAAGGGGUCUCCGCUUCAGUCUCCGAUAAACCUGACCAGUCUUGCUUAUGGUAACUUGGAGCAAUGGUGGCAGCUUGCAAAGUGGCGACGAACAAAGCAGCGGACUCCAGCACAAUGGGAAUCUCAGCUUUGAAGCUUGUCCUCUUCCUUGAGCCACCAGACCAAGGAGAAGGUGAAAGAGCAUGGUUUUUAGCUAUGGAGGCUUAAUUGAGUGUCAGGCUAGUAGGUUUUCAUUCAACUCGAAUGGUCUUUUGCAGCUCAAAAUACAACUUGGGCAGCAAAGAAGCACACACGUGCAGCAUUGUUGA